Vicia faba (fava bean) is the source of this 234-nucleotide non-coding RNA. NCBI's taxonomy places the organism in Eukaryota, Viridiplantae, Streptophyta, Magnoliopsida, Fabales, Fabaceae. The record is from the annotation of a GenBank genome assembly.
AUGUUCACGUUGCCUCUGACAGCGGACCCGCUUGACAACCUUGCUCUGAUCGAGAUUCAGCCGCACCGUCAUCGAUCAUCUGUCCUCAAGACCCGUGCACAGCCGUUGAUCGAAGAGCCGCCACACUUGCCAUCAUCAUCAUCGCCGAUGAAGAUGACCACGAAUCACCCCCGAUACAGCCCAUGUUUCUAUGUUUCAAACCAUCACGAAAUCGGCGCCCUCCACGUAAGCUAG